RNAcentral lists this ribosomal RNA (597 nucleotides) under Salmonella enterica. RNAcentral's name for it is "partial 23S ribosomal RNA". It matches the Rfam family "Bacterial large subunit ribosomal RNA", at positions 681 to 1274 of the family's 2925-position model. The record is from RNAcentral. Lineage: Bacteria; Pseudomonadati; Pseudomonadota; Gammaproteobacteria; Enterobacterales; Enterobacteriaceae.
GUCUUAACCGGGCGUUAAGUUGCAGGGUAUAGACCCGAAACCCGGUGAUCUAGCCAUGGGCAGGUUGAAGGUUGGGUAACACUAACUGGAGGACCGAACCGACUAAUGUUGAAAAAUUAGCGGAUGACCUGUGGCUGGGGGUGAAAGGCCAAUCAAACCGGGAGAUAGCUGGUUCUCCCCGAAAGCUAUUUAGGUAGCGCCUCGUGAAUUCAUCUCCGGGGGUAGAGCACUGUUUCGGCUAGGGGGCCAUCCCGGCUUACCAACCCGAUGCAAACUGCGAAUACCGGAGAAUGUUAUCACGGGAGACACACGGCGGGUGCUAACGUCCGUCGUGAAGAGGGAAACAACCCAGACCGCCAGCUAAGGUCCCAAAGUCAUGGUUAAGUGGGAAACGAUGUGGGAAGGCCCAGACAGCCAGGAUGUUGGCUUAGAAGCAGCCAUCAUUUAAAGAAAGCGUAAUAGCUCACUGGUCGAGUCGGCCUGCGCGGAAGAUGUAACGGGGCUAAACCAUGCACCGAAGCUGCGGCAGCGACGCUGAUGCGUUGUUGGGUAGGGGAGCGUUCUGUAAGCCUGUGAAGGUGGCCUGUGAGGGUUGCU